UGGGGGAUAUUGCACAAUGGGGGAAACCCUGAUGCAGCAACGCCGCGUGAAGGAAGAAGGUCUUCGGAUUGUAAACUUCUGUCCUCAGGGAAGAUAAUGACGGUACCUGAGGAGGAAGCUCCGGCUAACUACGUGCCAGCAGCCGCGGUAAUACGUAGGGAGCGAGCGUUGUCCGGAUUUACUGGGUGUAAAGGGUGCGUAGGCGGAUAGGCAAGUCAGUGGUGAAAUCUAUGGGCUUAACCCAUAACUGCCAUUGAAACUGUUUAUCUUGAGUGGAGUAGAGGCAGGCGGAAUUCCCGGUGUAGCGGUGAAAUGCGUAGAGAUCGGGAGGAACACCAGUGGCGAAGGCGGCCUGCUGGGCUUUAACUGACGCUGAGGCACGAAAGUGUGGGUAGCAAACAGGAUUAGAUACC
Molecule: ribosomal RNA, 413 nt
Filed under: uncultured bacterium
Lineage: Bacteria
Description: bacterial SSU rRNA
Rfam family: Bacterial small subunit ribosomal RNA
Source: RNAcentral